Molecule: long non-coding RNA, 2646 nt
Organism: Belonocnema kinseyi
Lineage: Eukaryota; Metazoa; Arthropoda; Insecta; Hymenoptera; Cynipidae
Exons: 3
Source: RefSeq, a predicted model, not a curated record
GUCGCAUGGUGGUUCAACUUUCUCGAGACAGUGGCGAACAUUCGCUUCUACAAUAGCUAACCACAACACAUCAGCAUGGAGCAUAAAUUCAUAACUACUGUGGACAUUCAAACGGUCAGAACUGCAGUUGACAAUAUUGGCCUGAGAUGUACUAUAAACUGUACACUCUAACUGUAUUUGUGCAAAAACUUUUCAUGAAUAAUUUCAGAUUAUUUUCAAUGCGAAGGAAAGUGAAUGUACGUCCUUACAAGUGUUUGCCGAUGAUUUCAGAGUUUGUGGAUUGAUUGUAGAGGAUUGCACGUCAUUUCGGGAUAGAAAGAGAAAAGUACUAUUAUAUUUUGACAAAAUGGAACAUGUUUAUAUAAAUGAAACGAAAUUUUUUGUAACAGAAAAAAGAAUACAGAUUCAGACCAUAAUUAAAUACAGCAUUCUACCUAAUCGUCCAUCGUCAGAGAUUUUCAUUCAAAAGCUGAUUCUGAAGAUUGGCGCAAUCCAGGGUCUCGCAGGAUCUGCCUGUCCGUGGUUCUUGCAAGUUUUGCUCCAUCAAACGACGAUAGAAACUUAGUUCGCUUUGAUCAUCCCCAGAGGUCGAAGAAGAACCUCGACUAUCAACAUCUGUGAGAUGUCGCUCGUGCAGGCUGUCACCACAAAUCGACAGGGUAGAACCCUCCGGGGAAAAAAUACACUGUUUUCUCUCUGCACCUGCAAUAUAAGAAAACUCCGUUUUGCUCUUUUAUCUUUUCAUUUUAAAAAAACUAGCUGCCUCCCUUAGGUAAUCGAUGGCCGUCGAUUUUCACGUGCAAAGAAAACAAGUUAAUCUUAUCACACACCUCUGAAAUAUCUCUAAUAGAAACAUGAACUCAAUUGAUACAUGUAAUUUAACUUCGUUCUAAACAACAUAACUUCUCUUUAGCUAAGUUAAUGGUGAUUACAUUUUAUUACAAAUUAAUAUUGAAAUUAAAUUUGGAAUUAUUAAACAAGGGAGAGUUCCAUAAUGCUAUAAGAAGUCUUAUGGGUAGUGAAAUUAAUACUGCAAUGAAUUCUAAAGAAUACAAUGUCAGACUGCAUCAGGAAAAUGUUUUAAAUGGAAAAAAUGAAAUAUAAUCAGCCGGAUGGUCGAAACUUAUUCAGAUACGACUACAUGUUACUGUCUCAUAGCAAAUAGCUACAUUUUUCUCGAACUCAAUUUCAUGUACUUUAAUCAAAAAUACAUUUUUUUAUUUAGAGCACAAACUGUAGCAGUGAACCCUAGACUAGAGUGAGUGCAGGUUUUGGGGCUGACCUUGGACAAAACUCCCUAGACAAUGGUCCACUCCAAAAGUAAGCAGUUAAGUGCGAGUGAGUGCCCCCCUCUCCCACCCCAAAGCUCCUCUCACUCAAGAUGGAAGAAUGUGGAGAGGUCUAAGAGAUCAAAAGGAUGCUGGGUAUAUGGGUUAUUGUGUAGGAUAGGGUAAGAGAGGAUUUUAGAAGGUGAAAAGGUGAGAGAGGAGAAAACUAGAUGGCAGUCAGAGAAAAAAGGCGACAGGGAAUAUUGAACAGGAUGGAGUGGUGAGGAACAUGGAUGAGUGGUACGAAGGCUAUUGAGUAAAGAGGGUUUUGGGGGAAUGCAAAAGGGGUUAAGGUGGGUUUAGCAGGGUUCAAAGGAACGAGGAAGGUUUUAAGCGGUUAAACGUGAAGUUAAAAGAGAUGUUAAGACUUAUUAAACAAAAAAUUAGUAAUUUCGUAUGCUAGUCUAUCACUUGCACCUUGCCACGCGAUCUGUCUUUUCAAUUACAAAUGUUAAAAAUAAAAAUAAAUUUACUGAAUUUCCGUCGAUAAAGCUCAAGGUACGUCUUAGGCUUAUAGUCAAUUUUUGGCAAGAUUACGUUGCCCAGCUUUUUUUCAUUCUUCUCCAAAAUUGCAUCGCUACGAGAACAGAGCAAUAGGUUUGUUUUAUUCGACGAAUCUCGAAAUCGGCUUCUCAAUGAAAAUUUCGGUUCCAUUACACUUUUCCCGCGUGAUUUCUGUCGAACCGGAAUACGCCCUGUAGUUGAGUCUCUCUCGAAAUGUUUCUUACAUGACGUGGAUUCCAUUCCGGGCAUUUUCUCGAUAUUGUCCCUCGCAAUUAUCACACCGGUGCAGAGAAUGCCUCUAUUGUCGAAGGGAACGUGAAACGCUGUUUCAUCAGGUCUGGUAUCUGAGAUAUUUUGAGAAAGUUGCAGAAGUUGUUAGAAAUAGAAAUAUUACUGAAAUUACGGUGAUUAGAGAGUACAAAAUAGAAUUAAUAGAAUGACAAUAAUUUUGGCUGAAAACGUUCAAAAUUUUAUCAUUUUGAUUCAAACUCAAGAGCUGGAAAAUUGAAUUUUUAAAUUGACUUACCUCUAAUAAGAUUAGUAAAUUCCUGCUGCUCUAAAUAAAAAGAUUGUCGCUUCAAUUUUGAAAAUCUACCUUUGAGGUUACAUUGAUCUAUUUUUGACAAAGCAUUUUUGUUUCUGUAGUUCCUAAAUGUCCCAUCUUCUAAUGAGUCCAAAGACAACUGCGACAUUUCGAAAACUUUGUAGGCUUGAAAGUAAAUAAAACUGUUUAUCAUACUAAAAUUGUCAAAAGAUAGUAUUUUUAGGUUUUGUGGAUUUCAGGAAAACUCCGGCGAUCUUCAUUUUAUUAAAA